AGUAACACGUGAGUAACCUGCCCUUGACUCUGGGAUAAGCCUGGGAAACUGGGUCUAAUACCGGAUACGACCGCUCCACGCAUGUGGUGGUGGUGGAAAGCUUUUGCGGUUUUGGAUGGACUCGCGGCCUAUCAGCUUGUUGGUGGGGUAAUGGCCUACCAAGGCGACGACGGGUAGCCGGCCUGAGAGGGUGACCGGCCACACUGGGACUGAGACACGGCCCAGACUCCUACGGGAGGCAGCAGUGGGGAAUAUUGCACAAUGGGCGCAAGCCUGAUGCAGCGACGCCGCGUGAGGGAUGACGGCCUUCGGGUUGUAAACCUCUUUCAGUAGGGAAGAAGCGAAAGUGACGGUACCUGCAGAAGAAGCGCCGGCUAACUACGUGCCAGCAGCCGCGGUAAUACGUAGGGCGCAAGCGUUAUCCGGAAUUAUUGGGCGUAAAGAGCUCGUAGGCGGUUUGUCGCGUCUGCUGUGAAAGACCGGGGCUCAACUCCGGUUCUGCAGUGGGUACGGGCAGACUAGAGUGAUGUAGGGGAGACUGGAAUUCCUGGUGUAGCGGUGAAAUGCGCAGAUAUCAGGAGGAACACCGAUGGCGAAGGCAGGUCUCUGGGCAUUAACUGACGCUGAGGAGCGAAAGCAUGGGGAGCGAACAGGAUUAGAUACCCUGGUAGUCCAUGCCGUAAACGUUGGGCACUAGGUGUGGGGGACAUUCCACGUUUUCCGCGCCGUAGCUAACGCAUUAAGUGCCCCGCCUGGGGAGUACGGCCGCAAGGCUAAAACUCAAAGGAAUUGACGGGGGC
Molecule: ribosomal RNA, 800 nt
Filed under: bacterium
Lineage: Bacteria
Description: bacterial SSU rRNA
Rfam family: Bacterial small subunit ribosomal RNA
Source: RNAcentral